AAAGUGUUGAAAGUUCAAAAAUUAUUUUUGGUCUUCUAUAUUUGAGCCGAAAUUUUAGGUUUUGAAGGUUUUUCUUCUCUCUUUGUUGAAGAUUUGCUAUUCUAAUUUGUUAUUUGGUUAGUUAUUAGUUGGUGAUGAAUGGUAAGUGUUCGAACGUGUUAUUUUGUUCUUUGUGAACUGUGUUGUUUUCAUUUGACGUUAAAGCUGAAUGUUUAGAAUUUUAAUGUCCUUGUGGCUUUAUUUAUUACACUUAUUGUCUUUACUAAUUUUGUUGUUGGUGACCUCAAGAUUUAAUCUUGGAAGGCAUUUUCUUGUUGUUGAAGUGUUGGUAGUUCGAAAAUGCUUUUUAAUCUUCUAUACUUAAGUUGAAAAUUAGGCUUUGAAGGUUUUUUUCUCCAUUUUUUGGUUGAAAAUUUACAGUUUCAAUUUAUUAUUUGUUUUUUUUAUUAGUUGAUGAUGAAGAGUAAGGGUUCGAAUGUGUUAUUUUUUAUGUGUUAUUUUUUUCUCUAUGACUUGUAUUAUUUUUGUUUGAAGUUAAAGCUAAAUAUUUAGGAUUUUUAUGUCCUUGUGGUUUCAUUUCUUGCACUUAUUGUGUUUAAUCUCUCUGAGUAUUCAUUCAUUUCUUGAUCGCCUAAAAAUUCUUGUGUUUAUACUGAUUUUUUUGUUGUCCAAGUGCAUUUUACUUAUAGAAACAUACAUGCAACUUAUUGUCUUGGUAUUCACUUUCUAUAGUCGAAAAAUUACAUGCCAUCUCAUGAUUUCUAUGUCCAAUGUGCCUACAAGUGCAUCUUUUCGUCUUCUAUUUCAUAUUUAAGUUCAAGAUUUACCCUUUAAACCUGUUAUUUUUCUGUGAGGUUGAGAAUUAGUCUUCGAAGGCAGUUGAGACAGAAAAAUUAAUUGGUAGGUGCGACAAAAGUGAAGAAUCUGGAAUAAUUUAUCCAAAGGUAAGUAAAAUUUAAAUUCAAUUAGAAAUCUGAAUAUUUUUUUUUUACAUGUAUUUUUAUGCAUUUUUUUUCUUUAUGCCUAUGAGAUUAUGAGAGUAAGGCAUGUUUUUAUAGUUUCUUUGAAGCUCGAGAAUUCUUUCUUAGAUAAUGGAGAUUUUUUAUAGCAGGUUUGACCUAUAACUUAAUGCUUGUUUUUUUAUGACAACGCUAAGACUUGUCUUUAGUCCAUUAAUAUGAAUAUUACAAUAUUGCAUAUGUUGAGUGAUAUUUGGCAUUACAACGUUGAAAUUUAAUUCAGGAUCAUCUAUGCCAUUUGAUAUUAUUGUGGUUGAUAUGUCAACAUUUUAAAAUUUGUCUCACUGCUUCUUGAUAGUGUUGUCUAGUCCAUUAUUGCAUUUUUUUACUUCAUGAUUCUUCACGUUUUAAGAAAAAUUCUGAAUUUUGGUGCCUUUAUUCAAUCUGUUUGACUGUGGG
Molecule: long non-coding RNA, 1418 nt
Filed under: Olea europaea subsp. europaea
Lineage: Eukaryota; Viridiplantae; Streptophyta; Magnoliopsida; Lamiales; Oleaceae
Source: RNAcentral